RNAcentral lists this transfer RNA (73 nucleotides) under Fasciola gigantica. RNAcentral's name for it is "tRNA-Gly". The record is from RNAcentral. Lineage: Eukaryota; Metazoa; Platyhelminthes; Trematoda; Plagiorchiida; Fasciolidae.
GGUGGUGGUCAGGUGGUUUAGGACGUUUACUUACCACUUCGGAGGUCCGAGGUUCGAAUCCUCGCCAUCACCG